AUCUUCGUGGAGGCCGACAUGCGGGCGUGCCUCGGCGACUUUGGCCUCUCCCUCCUCCUCGCACCGCCAGACGCGUGCGCCACGGGGGGCACUCGUGACCUCGUGUGCUGCACCACGACAGGAUGAAGCCCGUGGGCGUUGGCAAGAAGCGGCGAGACUUGGCGCUGGCGGACUGGGUGGUGCCCAAGAUCCAGGUCGGCGAGCACAGGGUGGUCGUCGACCGACCGGUGCUGCCUAAGAUCCAGUUUGGCUUGCUUUGCAGUAGGGAGACCAAGGCCAGACUUCUGGCGAUGUUUUCCUGAUGGAAAGCAGUUAUACGAUCAAGUGACUGGUGAUGUGAUUUGCCAUGGUGAGAAAACUUCUUACAAGAUGGGCGCAAGAGCUUUCCUAGUGGCCAUUCGCGGAGUAGGGAAGGCACUGUCGAUCUCUAAUUGUCAGCUGAGUAUUUGGACUGUGCAGUUCAUCAUGUACUCAUACAUAUACCACCUCAAAGACGCCUUAUUAAUCCUGUUUCUUAUUGCAUUUAUUCGGAGCACUACGUACUCAUUUAUGAAAGCCUCGCCAAAAGAUGUCCUUCUUAUAGUUGAGUACAAGAAUAAUUAUCUCUUGUAUCUUAUUGUAAAAUCUGAAACAUUUGUUCUGUAGAUGGUUAGCUUGCAUUUAUGCUAUAAUUACCUCAAAUCACGUUAUCGGAGAGUAAAUCUUCGACCGGGUGGCGGAGUGCACCCGCCCUAAAUCCUAAGAUGAGGAGGGGCCUAAGCGUUUUGCUUGUUAGUUGGAAAAGUGGGAAGAACACAAGAACACAAGAACACACAAGGAUUUAGAGUGGUUCGGGCCGCCGGAGCGUAACACCCUACUCCACCGUGUGAUGUAUUGCUUGAGAGCUUGUAUGAACUUGUUAGUGUC
Long non-coding RNA from Zea mays, 906 nucleotides. RefSeq lists it as uncharacterized. The record is from RefSeq and is a predicted model, not a curated record. The transcript is spliced from 4 exons. Lineage: Eukaryota; Viridiplantae; Streptophyta; Magnoliopsida; Poales; Poaceae.